This 1462-nucleotide ribosomal RNA is filed under the name uncultured prokaryote. Its description in RNAcentral is "partial 16S ribosomal RNA". It matches the Rfam family "Bacterial small subunit ribosomal RNA". The record is from RNAcentral.
AGAGUUUGAUCCUGGCUCAGGAUGAACGCUGGCGGCACGUCUGACACAUGCAAGUCGAACGACAAGCCGGUGCUUGCACCGGUGGAGGAGUGGCGAACGGCUGAGUAACACGUAGGAACCUACCCCUUGGUUUGGGAUAACGGAUCGAAAGGACCGCUAAUACCAAAUAUAUCCUUCGGGAGGAAAGCUCCGGCGCCAGAGGAGGGGCCUGCGGCGUAUUAGCUUGUUGGUGGGGUAAUGGCUCACCAAGGCGAUGAUGCGUAGCUGGUCUGAGAGGAUGAUCAGCCAGACUGGGACUGAGACACGGCCCAGACUCCUACGGGAGGCAGCAGUUCAGAAUCUUGCACAAUGGGCGAAAGCCUGAUGCAGCGAUGCCGCGUGUGCGAAGAAGGCCUUCGGGUCGUAAAGCACUGUCAGAGGGGAAGAUAAUGACGGUACCCUCAAAGGAAGCCACGGCUAAUUACGUGCCAGCAGCCGCGGUAAUACGUAAGUGGCGAGCGUUAUCCGGAAUUACUGGGCGUAAAGCGUUCGUAGGCGGCGCAGCAAGUUGGAUUUUAAAGACCGGGGCUCAACUCCGGAAUCGGGUCCAAAACUGCCGUGCUAGAGCAAAUCAGAGGGUAGUGGAAUUCCCGGUGUAGCGGUAAUAUGCGUAGAGAUCGGGAGGAACACCAGUGGCGAAGGCGGCUACCUGGGGUUUUGCUGACGCUGAGGAACGAAAGCUAGGGGAGCGAACGGGAUUAGAUACCCCGGUAGUCCUAGCUGUAAACGAUGGACACUAGGUGUAGGGAGCUUCGACCCUCUCUGCGCCGGCGCUAACGCAUUAAGUGUCCCGCCUGGGGACUACGGCCGCAAGGCUAAAACUCAAAGGAAUUGACGGGGCCCCGCACAAGCAGUGGAGCAUGUGGUUUAAUUCGAUGCUACGCGAAGAACCUUACCAGGGCUUGACAUCCCGGUGACCGCUUUUGGAAACAUUAGCUUCCCUUCGGGGCACCGGUGACAGGUGGUGCAUGGCUGUCGUCAGCUCGUGCCGUGAGGUGUUGGAUUAAGUUCCGCAACGAGCGCAACCCUUAUUGUUAGUUGCCAUCAUUAAGUUGGGCACUCUAGCGAGACUGCCAGCGUCAAGCUGGAGGAAGGUGGGGACGACGUCAAGUCAUCAUGCCCCUUACGUCCUGGGCUACACACGUGCUACAAUGGGCGGUACAACGAGUUGCCACUUCGCGAGAAGGAGCGAAUCUCUUAAAGCCGUCCUCAGUUCGGAUUGCAGGCUGCAACUCGCCUGCAUGAAGCUGGAAUUGCUAGUAAACGUGGAUCAGCAUGCCGCGUUGAAUACGUACCCGGGGCUUGUACACACCGCCCGUCACACCAUGGAAGUUGGUAACACCCGAAGUCCGUGAGCUAACCGCAAGGAAGCAGCGGCCGAAGGUGGGACUAAUGACUGGGGUGAAGUCGUAACAAGGUAACC